This is a long non-coding RNA of Helicoverpa armigera (cotton bollworm), 3821 nucleotides long. RefSeq lists it as uncharacterized. NCBI's taxonomy places the organism in Eukaryota, Metazoa, Arthropoda, Insecta, Lepidoptera, Noctuidae. The transcript has 3 exons. The record is from RefSeq and is a predicted model, not a curated record.
UGUUUUUAGAAAGAUGCGCAUGUACUAAUACUUGCAUGUUUUUUUGCAGAAUAUACCUUCAUCAAAACACACAAUGGACAUCAAUUGAUGUUAUAUAAAGGCUAUACGUAUUCCAAAAGUACUCCGAAUCACUUCUAUUGUUCAAAGAGAGAAAAGGGUUGUAAAGCGAAGGUGAAAACUGGUAAAAAUGGUCGCGUUGUUAACACAGAAGUAAUAAAACAUGAUCAUCCACCACCAAAGUAUGUUCCGACAAAGUUUGGAUACUAUAUCAAAGUUUUUUCGUAAAAAAUAUUUUGUAUAUAACCGGAAUAUUCAAAUAGGAUAAAAUAAAUUAUUUUGUAAAAAUUUAUCAUAUCUCAGUUUCUGUUAAUUUGAUUCAUCAUCUCACAUACCUUUUCCCAAAUAUGUAGGGGUCGGCUUCCAGUCUAAGAUGUAGCUGAGUACCUGUAUUUUAUGGAGCUACUGACUUGAUUGUUUACUAUAUUUGUUUUAUGUAUAUGUUUAAAAUAAAUAUGUUAACCCAAAAGAUCAAAUUCCAGGUGCUUAUUUUUCAUACAAAAUGAUACCGACAAAACGGGGGAAGUUUUUGCUGAUGUUUCAAGGAUACACGUUUUCUCAACAGCAUCAGACCCUGAACUACUAUUGUUCUAAGAAGGAUGCUGGAUGCAAGGCUCGGAUUAAACUGGAUAGAAAUGGCAAAAUUAUGCCAACAUCCCAUCCCAUACAUUUCCAUCCACCUCCGAAAUACAUGGUGAUGCCAAAAGGAGAUUAUAUUAAAUUAUCAUAAUUGUAAGGACUCAAAUUUUUUCGGUACUUGGACAUAAUAUACACUUUCUUUGGAGUAUUCGAUGUUUUGUCUCUGUGUGCAUUCGUUGUGCAUCAGAAUCCAAAACUUUCAUGUUUUUCGAUUUAAGUCAAGAAGUAGGAAAACAAAUCUACUACUAUCCACUCUACCAGCACAUGAUUGUUACCAAUUAGGUACCUAGCUAAAAUUGAAAUAGGUAUAUAAAAAGUAUUUUCGGUAUUUUUGCGGACUAUUAAUUAUAGGCUAGUUAUAUGAUACGAGUUUUGUAGUGUACAGUGUUAAGUUUUUUCUAAGAUAAUAAAGAAAAUAUAACGCCUUAUCUUUACUUAAAAAUAUGAACAUCUAUUGUUUUUAUUUUAAACAUUAAUUGUGCACCGUGACCCCUUUCCUUUACCUCUUCCAAAUCAUAUACCUCAAUCAAUGUAUUUUUUACAGAUGAUUUUAAAUAUGUUUAUGUACAAUCUCAAAUGGGGAAGCCAUUGAUUCUUAUUGGAGGAUACACUUUCUCUCACUGGAGAGGAGCUUGGACAUGUUCUACAAAAAACCCAAAUUGCAGAGCGAGGCUGAGGUUGGACGAGAAUGAAAAAAUUGUUACGAAUACACUUACGUGACAUCACAAAUGGGGAAGAAGUUGAUUCUCAUAGGAGGGCACACGUUCUCCCAAGCUUACGGUCGGUGUUGGGUUUGUUCCACGAAAAACCCGCUGUGCAAGGCGAAACUCAAGUUGGACGAUAAUCAAAGAAUUGUCGAGCUUUUCAACGAACAUCCCCAUCGAGAGAGAUAUGGUCUCAUUGGCGGGAAAUAUGUGCGUUUGUAAAAAAAUUAAUACAUAACGAGUUGAACAGGAUAAAGAGUCCUUUGAGUAUUCAAAACGAAUGAUCCGUAUUGCUUACUACAGUUUUUGAAUUUGUUUUUUUUUUCAUAGUUAGUUUAAUUAAACAAUAAGUCAAUUUACUAUAUUUCUUGUUACGAUGCCUUACUUAUAUAAAUACAUAUUUUAUAAUAAAUACCUUGAAAUAGUAUAGUAAUUCUCUUAACCAACAGUUUUCUUUCAAAACGUUAAUGUAUUGAUUAUGCCUAGUUAUUAACUGAGAAUUUAUAGAUUCUUAUUUACACCUAUCUUGUUAUUUACACAGUUAUUAAAAAUAAACGAUAUUCACACAUUUCUAUUAUUCUGUCUAUUGUUUAUUUGUCAUCGGUCCUCAGUACGUAAGUAGCUACUGUAUCGACUAGCCAACAUUUUGAACUUGCUUUUUUGCUGAUGACGACGAUCGCCAAGUCCCAUUAUCACUGACAGUAUAAAUGUAACUUUUAUUCUAAAAACGACUGUUGUAAAUUAAAAUGUAUCAGGCGUUUUACAUUUGCAGAAUACCAGAUAGUGAAAUCUCAACGCGGGAGAGACUUGAUACUUAUAAAUGGAUAUACAUUUGCUCGAACAUCUCCGUACCGGUGGAUUUGUUCUACACAUUAUCCUGGCUGCAAGGCCGUAUUGAGACUGACCUCAGACGGCAAAGUCCGUGAGCUCACGGACCAUUCGCAUCCAGUUAGAAGAUAUGUAAUAACGGGUGAUGGACAAAUUAGAUAUCAUCAGUGUUAUUUUCGAGGAUCCGAGCAAGAUCCGUAAUUCAAUUAAGGAUUUUAGUCCAUUAAUCAAACACAUCCUGUAAGUUUUUAUAAGUACCUUUUGGGAAUAAACGAUCUUCACAUACUUAUUAAAAUGCUUUCCUACUGGUUUUGUCUAGUGAUUAUUUCUCAUUGGUCGUCAGUUCGUAAGUUUACGUUGUAUAAGACGCUCCUCAGACAGUCAAUGUAAUUACACAAUAUAACGAUGUGUGUUUAACAUUUGCAGAAUACCAGAUAGUGAAAUCUCAACGAGGGAGAGACUUGAUACUUAUAAAUGGAUACACAUUUGCUCGAGCGACCCCUUACCGGUGGACCUGUUCAACGCAUUACCCUGAGUGCAAGGCCGUCUUGAGACUGACCCUAGAUGGAAAAGUUCGUGACGUCACCAAUCAUUCGCAUCCAGUCAGAAAAUAUGUGAUAACGAGUCAAGGAAAAUAUAUUAGAUUUAAAUAAUUUUAUUUUCGGAGAUCCAAGCAAUUUGCAUAUCACUUAUUUGAUCUGAAUCCAUAGUAUCUGUUAUGUAACAAUGUUCAGUAGAGAUGUCGACGAAAUUCUUUCUUUGGCUCUUUUGAAUGACGAUGUCGAAUCUGAUAACGAAGCUACUGACCAUGAAGAGACUGAAAGUGAGGAGACUGAAGGAGUAGAGAGUCAAGUAGAGGAGUCUAGUACUGAAACAAAUGAAGUUGUUAUACCUGAGAAUGAUAAAGGCCUGACUAAAAAGGGUUUGCCAAGGAAAAGACAUAAAUAUGAUAAAACCAUUGGGAAUAGACGAAUAAGGCUAUACAAAGACAAGGCUGAUCAAAAGCUAACAAUGAAACCACCGUGUAAUGAAAAAUGUCGCAGACAAUGUACAACUAAGAUUUCUGAAGAAAUGAGAAAACAAAUACAUGAUUGUUACGUAAGUUUUGAUUCGGAGUCUAGAGGAAUGUUCAUUAAGGAAUUAGUUGAACCACAGGAAGUAAAAAAAAGAAAAACAAAAUUUCGAUGUAAGAGUAGGGAUGUUGCAUAUUCCUAUCAUUUUCAAGUUGGUGACGAAAGAAUUCAAGUUUGCAAAACAUUUUUUUUAACCACACUUGGGUACAAACGGCGGAAUGACACCCAUGUUUACUUAACACUCAAAAAGGAAAUUGAUGAUUUGCAAGAAAAACGAGGUAAAUACUUACGCAAGAAGAAAAAUAGUCAAGGACAUGUGUAAAACGUUAAUGCAACAAUUUCAGACUAGCAUCGUAAGCAUGCUUCUAAACAUUGUCUGACAAGUGACAUGAAUGUCAUGAUGAUACACCAAUUCUUCACGGGUAAACAUAUUGAUCUCUUCCAAGCGUCAAAAUAUUGUAACCAAUAUUGAUACUUCUUAUUUAACCACUUAAUAUAAUUUAGAACAUUUAAAUUGUAA